GACGAACGCUGGCGGCGUGCCUAAUACAUGCAAGUCGAACGCUUCUUUCCUCCCGAGUGCUUGCACUCAAUUGGAAAGAGGAGUGGCGGACGGGUGAGUAACACGUGGGUAACCUACCCAUCAGAGGGGGAUAACACUUGGAAACAGGUGCUAAUACCGCAUAACAGUUUAUGCCGCAUGGCAUAAGAGUGAAAGGCGCUUUCGGGUGUCGCUGAUGGAUGGGCCCGCGGUGCAUUAGCUAGUUGGUGAGGUAACGGCUCACCAAGGCCACGAUGCAUAGCCGACCUGAGAGGGUGAUCGGCCACACUGGGACUGAGACACGGCCCAGACUCCUACGGGAGGCAGCAGCAGGGAAUCUUCGGCAAUGGACGAAAGUCUGACCGAGCAACGCCGCGUGAGUGAAGAAGGUUUUCGGAUCGUAAAACUCUGUUGUUAGAGAAGAACAAGGACGUUAGUUACUGAACGUCCCCUGACGGUAUCUAACCAGAAAGCCACGGCUAACUACGUG
Molecule: ribosomal RNA, 508 nt
Filed under: uncultured bacterium
Lineage: Bacteria
Description: partial 16S ribosomal RNA
Rfam family: Bacterial small subunit ribosomal RNA
Source: RNAcentral